UGGGACUUGUAGGCGGCAAGCCCUGAAGCCAACCGUCCUGGCCACCAGCAGCAGUGUGCCACCCAGGGGGAACUGAGACCCCAGGAAGGCACCUAUGUGGCUCAAGACUUCAGAGCCAGACAGUCUUGGCCCUCUAGGGAUGCCAAGAACAUACUUUAACUGGUUUUCAAAAGUAGCUUCUUAAGGGGUCUUUUGGUCAGGAGCCCUCUUUACACCCACCAUGAAUUCGCUCAACAGACAUUGCCCAAGGCAGGCUUCCCUUGCCAAGCCCUACAGUUUGAGGAAAACCAGCAAGAGCCCUGCUGUCAGGGAGCUCACUCAGCAGUAUCAGGAGACCCUUAGACCCGGAGGAGGCCAGGCUGGCUUCUGGCCUUCUGUGUAGCAGGGGAUGAGCCUGUAAUCCUCUCAACUCCACCUCCUGAGCAUUAAAAUCAGUGUGCCAUGACAGCGAGAUUUACAUCUCUUCAACAAGGGGCCCGCGUUUGCAUUUGUGCUGGGCCAGAAGACUUCUGCAGGCUGGCAUCUUGUCCCCCAGCCUUGGGCCCCUUCCCACACAUGGCAUGCUGUGCUCUCUGUUUGUUUUCCGGCAAAGGGUGGCCCCAGAGUCCCCAUGCUAGUGAUAAAGAAGCCCAGCCGCCUGUGCUCUUUCGCAUGGCCUCGUGGCUUUUAGCCUCCAUCAGGCUGUUAAAGAUACAGUCAUUGUGAAUUAGCCCUCGCUUCCACAGAAGCCCGAGGGUCCCAGGGGUAUGCUUCUGUUGAAGCCCCAGCAUAAAGUGCCUGACACCCCAGGUCUCCAAAAAUAUUUAUGAUGCGAAUUAUGUAUGUAUAUACAUAUUAUAUAUAUGGCAAAAUACACUUUGCAUUUACUUUU
Non-coding RNA from Myodes glareolus (Bank vole), 871 nucleotides. The record is from RefSeq and is a predicted model, not a curated record. NCBI's taxonomy places the organism in Eukaryota, Metazoa, Chordata, Mammalia, Rodentia, Cricetidae.